GGUUUACUCUAGGUUUCCACACCCUGAUGCUCCUGCCUUUACUUUGACACCUCUGACUGCCAGGUUUUCACAGACCUGUUGACAGUGACUCAAGAUCUGGAAUGUAAUGGAUGGUUUGGCAACAGUGUUUGCUUGAGCAGUUUAAAAUCUGGCCAGGGAGACUCAAUGUGAGCAAGAAAAUGAUAGAAUACCAAGUUUUCUGGAGGUCAGAGGGAGCUGAGUUGAGUGUUACCGAGAAUGCUGUGGGGUUUGAGAUGAGAAAAAUAGCUUGCUAAUUUAAAAGACGGAUUAUUUUUCCCUAAAGACCUUGACUUAUGUAAAUGUAUAUUAUCCAUAAUUUUAAAAAUCCACUUAUGGCUGGGCACAGAAGCUCACACCUGUAAUCCCAGCACUUUGGGAGGCUGAGGCAGGAGGAUCAGUUGAGUCCAGGAGUUCGAGACCAGCCUGGGCAACAUAGUGAAACCCUGUAUCUACAAAACAUAGAAAAACUAGUUGGGUGUGGUGGUGUGUACCUGUAGUUCCAGCUACUAGGGAGGUAGGAAGAUCACCUGAGCCCAUGGAGAUUGAGGCUGUGGUGAGCUGUGAAGGCACCACAGCACUCUGGCCUGGGCAAGAGUGGGACUCUCUCAAAAAAAAAAAAAAAAAAAAAUCCACAUAUCCAGCCUUCCAAGUCAGUCUUUAAUAAUGUGCACGGGCCAGGCACAGUGGCUCACACCCGUAAUCCCAACACUUUGGAAUAUUAGGGUGGGAGCAUCACUUGAGGCCAGGAAUUUGAGACCAGCCUGGGCAACAUAGUGAGACUGCCCCCCCCAUCUCUACAAAAAAUAAAAAUCAAAAAUAAUACUGUGGGCAAACUUUACUUAGAUUUUAUUCAGAGUAGUGCCUGUUUAUUUUUCAUCUGUGCUACCUGUGCCGGCAUUCCAUAUGCAUUUGAUUUAGUCUUUAAAGUACCCCGGUAAAAUAGGUCUUUUGUCUGCAUUUUUCAGAUGGGAAGACUGAGGUUUUGUUUAUUUAUUUUUAUUUAUUUAUUUUUUGAGACGGAGUCUCGCUCUGUUGCCUAGGCUGGAGUGCGAUGGCACAAUCUUGGCUCACUACAACCUCCGCUUCCUGGGUUCAAGCGAUUCUCCUGCCUCAGCCUCCUGAGUAGCUAGGAUUACAGGCGCCCACAACCGCACCCGGCUAAUUUUUUGUAUCUUUAGUAGAGACAGGGUUUCACUAUGUUGUCCAAGCUGGUUUCGAAUUCCUGACCUCAGGUGAUCCACCCGCCUCUGCCUCCCAAAAUGUUGGGAUUACAGGCGUGAGCCACCACGCCCAGCCUAUUUAUUUAUUUUUUUAGAAUCAAGAUCUUGCUAUGUUGCCCAGGCUGAACUCGAACUCCUGGGCUCAAGCAAUCCUGCCUCCCAAGCCAAGCAGCUGGUACUGCAAGCAUGUGCCACCGUGCCUGGCUCCUGAAGACUGAGGUUGGUUUAGAUUAAUGAGUUGCCCAAAUUCAGACAGUUCUUAAGUGGCAAAGUUAGGAUUCCAACCCAGGUCAACAUAACUAAAGCCCAAACCCCAUCUCACCCCUCUAGGCCAUCAAGUAUUGGCUGGGUGCGGUGGUUUAUGUCUGUAAUCCCAGCACUUUGGGAGGCGGAGGCGGGAGGACUGUUUGAGCUCAGGAGUUUGAGACCAGCCUGGGCAACAUAACAAGACCCUGUCUCUACAAAAAUAUAUAAAUUAGCCGGGUGUACUGGCUCACACCUGUAGCUACUUGGGAGGCUGAGGUGGGAGGAUCGCUUGAGCCUGGGAGGUCAAGGCUGCGGUGACCUGUGAUUGCACCACCAGGAGACCCUGUCUUAAAAAUGUAUAUAUAAAAAUAAAAAGAACAUCAGACAUCACCAUCACCUCGCUUAGAAUCCAUGGGGCCUUCUCCUCAAAUUCAAUCUUCCCAGGCAUUUCAUGAACUUGCGUCUAGUUUCUGUUCCCUCUCAAAUUGCCCAGGCUGUCCUGUGAGUGACAGCAGCUAUUUCGUGGGCCUCCUCUGGAAUCAUGAGAAGUCACCCAAACAAUCUCAGUUUUCUAGCUCACUCCGUCUUGACAUUUCUACACUGUCAUCCUUGGUUUUCUUGGAAAUUAAUUUGCUUUUCUUCAUUGUCUUUCUUUGGAGCUGCUUUCCUUUUGUUGGUUACUAUUUUAUUUUUAGCUUCUCACACCAUACCGACAUAUGUUGGUUAUUCUUUUAGACAUGUUUUUUGUUGUUGUUGUCACCUGGAACUUUUGUAUCUUGAAUAAAUUUGGGGAUCAAAUA
Molecule: long non-coding RNA, 2287 nt
Filed under: Homo sapiens (human)
Lineage: Eukaryota; Metazoa; Chordata; Mammalia; Primates; Hominidae
Description: non-protein coding lnc-ZFP3-3:1
Source: RNAcentral